GUGAAUCAUCGAAUCUUUGAACGCAAAUUGCACUCUCUGGUAUUCCGGAGAGUAUGCCUGCUUGAGGGUCAGUUUAAAUAAAAUUCGGUGUGGUUGCUGUCUUUAGUGGUGACGCAUCGGCCGUGGGUCGUCUUGCCUUCGGAUCAGUGACAUACAAAUUUGCAUGAUUUUUUUGAUCGUAUUUAAUUCAUUUUAAGUACGUUUGAGAU
This 209-nucleotide unclassified non-coding RNA is filed under the name Glomeraceae sp. RNAcentral's name for it is "partial contains 5.8S ribosomal RNA and internal transcribed spacer 2". The stretch from base 1 to 71 matches the Rfam family "5.8S ribosomal RNA", at positions 84 to 154 of the family's 154-position model. The record is from RNAcentral. Lineage: Eukaryota; Fungi; Glomeromycota; Glomeromycetes; Glomerales; Glomeraceae.